UUUAGGGAGACCCGAAUCAGUUCAAAGCUCAAAAUUCUUUUCAUGGAAUUUUGAAUUGAUAAUAUUGAAUUGAUGUAUCCCUCGGUCGGUCGAGGAAAAGUUGUUGGCUUUCAAACUAUGAUUGGUUCGAUCUAAGUCGCACUCAGACAACCGAACAACAAAGUACGGUUGUGAGUAGGCAAGCAGUCAAAUUGAUUGUUAGACUCAAAAACAGUGAGUGCAAAUCUAAUGUAUUGUGAACAAGCAAUACCAGAUUCCAAAAAUUGCUCCAGCAAUCUUGCUUCAACCAGUAAGACUGCUGGAUGAUAUCCAGCCAGAACCUUGAAAACUGCAUAGUAACGCGAAGCUGGUAGACACAGACAUACUAUGAUUGCAUGGAUGAAAGUGUUUGCUUAUAUAGAUUUCACCAAUUGUUGAGU
This 419-nucleotide unclassified non-coding RNA is filed under the name Kalymmatonema gypsitolerans HTT-U-KK4. RNAcentral's name for it is "16S-23S ribosomal RNA intergenic spacer". The record is from RNAcentral. Lineage: Bacteria; Bacillati; Cyanobacteriota; Cyanophyceae; Nostocales; Scytonemataceae.